UAAUACCGGAUAUGACCUGUCACCUCAUGGUGGCGGGUGGAAAGUUUUGUCGGUCAGGGAUGGGCUCGCGGCCUAUCAGCUUGUUGGUGGGGUAACGGCCUACCAAGGCGAUUACGGGUAGCCGGCCUGAGAGGGCGACCGGCCACACUGGGACUGAGACACGGCCCAGACUCCUGCGGGAGGCAGCAGUGGGGAAUAUUGCACAAUGGGCGAAAGCCUGAUGCAGCGACGCCGCGUGGGGGAUGACGGCCUUCGGGUUGUAAACCUCUUUUACCACCAACGCAGGCUCCGGGUUUUCUCGGGGUUGACGGUAGGUGGGGAAUAAGGACCGGCUAACUACGUGCCAGCAGCCGCGGUAAUACGUAGGGUCCGAGCGUUGUCCGGAAUUAUUGGGCGUAAAGAGCUCGUAGGCGGCGUGUCGCGUCUGCUGUGAAAGACCGGGGCUUAACUCCGGUUCUGCAGUGGAUACGGGCAUGCUAGAGGUAGGUAGGGGAGACUGGAAUUCCUGGUGUAGCGGUGAAAUGCGCAGAUAUCAGGAGGAACACCGGUGGCGAAGGCGGGUCUCUGGGCCUUACCUGACGCUGAGGAGCGAAAGCAUGGGGAGCGAACAGGAUUAGAUACCCUGAUAGUCCAUGCCGUAAACGUUGGGCGCUACGAGUGAUGGGGACUAUCCACGGUCCCUCCGCGCCGAAGCUAACGCAUUACUAGCGCCACCGCCUGGGGAGGACGGACCGCAACGCCUAAAACUCAAAGGAAUUAGACGGCGGGCCCGUCACAAGCGGCGGAGCAUGUUGCUUAAUUCGACGCAACGCGAAGAACCUUACCAAGGUUUGACAUCACCCGUGGACCUGUAGAGAUACAGGGUCAUUUAGUUGGUGGGUGACAGGUGGUGCAUGGCUGUCGUCAGCUCGUGUCGUGAGAUGUUGGGUUAAGUCCCGCAACGAGCGCAACCCUUGUUCUAUGUUGCCAGCACGUUAUGGUGGGGACUCAUAGGAGACUGCCGGGGUCAACUCGGAGGAAGGUGGGGACGACGUCAAGUCAUCAUGCCCCUUAUGUCUUGGGCUGCAAACAUGCUACAAUGGCCGGUACAAUGGGCGUGCGAUACCGUAAGGUGGAGCGAAUCCCUUAAAGCCGGUCUCAGUUCGGAUUGGGGUCUGCAACUCGACCCCAUGAAGGUGGAGUCGCUAGUAAUCGCGGAUCAGCAACGCCGCGGUGAAUACGUUCCCGGGCCUUGUACACACCGCCCGUCA
This 1250-nucleotide ribosomal RNA is filed under the name Nocardiopsis metallicus. Its description in RNAcentral is "bacterial SSU rRNA". It matches the Rfam family "Bacterial small subunit ribosomal RNA", at positions 164 to 1399 of the family's 1533-position model. The record is from RNAcentral. Lineage: Bacteria; Bacillati; Actinomycetota; Actinomycetes; Streptosporangiales; Nocardiopsidaceae.